RNAcentral lists this long non-coding RNA (960 nucleotides) under Homo sapiens (human). RNAcentral describes it as "HSALNT0154388". The record is from RNAcentral. Lineage: Eukaryota; Metazoa; Chordata; Mammalia; Primates; Hominidae.
GUCUGCAUGCACAUGCUUGAGUCCACUUUCCCAACUCCAGGAAGCUGCUGAUCACUAGUUUCAGGUGUUUUCUAUGUAGCAGGAGAUGGCCUUUCCCUGGCACUGGCUGUGACCAAUUAUUAUUUUAGAGAGACAGUUAACAACGGCCUGACCAUUACUGACCAUUACCUGAUUGUCACCUGACAUUCCUGAUGUGUGUGACAGGAGGUGGGGGGGGAGUGUGAAGUCGGAGAGAGCCCUCUUCUACCCUGCUUAUGCCUGAUGAGCUACCUACUAUAACAGUAAGACUUGCAAUUUGCUCAUUUUCUUCAAACCUAUUUUGGCUAUCCUAGGUUCUUUGUAUUUCCAAAUAGAUUUUACAAACAUUUUGUCAUUUUCCAUACAAAAAAACCUGUAGUGAUUUUAACUGUGAUAACAUUGAUUCCAUGGAUCAAUUUGGGGAGGAUUUACAUUAUUUUAUAUUUAAUCUUCCAACUCAUGUGUGUGCCAUCUCUCUCCACUAGGUCUCUACUUUCUCUCAGCAAUAUUGUAUAAUUUUCAGUGUAGAGGGUUUUACAUUUUUCAUCAGAUAUAUUCCUAGGUAUGUGAUAUUUUUGAGUGCUAUUGUAAAUGGUUUAUUUUUCUAAAUUUUAUUUUCUAGUUGUUUGUUGAUAGUAUAAGAAAUAGAAUUAAGCAAAUAACACAGGAACAGAAAACGAAAUACCACAAAUUUUUACUUAUAAGUAGGAGCUAAACAUUGAGUCCACAUUGACACAAAAAAAGGGAACAAUGGGCACUGGGGCCUACUUGAAGGUGGAGGGUGGGAGGAGAGUGAGGAUCUAAAAACUACCUUUGCCUAGUACCUGGGUGAUAAAACGAUCUUUGCACCAAACCCUCAUGACAUGCAAUUUACCUGCAUAAAAAACCUGCACAUGUACCUCUGAAACUAAAAUAAAAGUGAAAAAAGAAACGGAAUUGAUU